Molecule: long non-coding RNA, 541 nt
Organism: Oxyura jamaicensis (ruddy duck)
Lineage: Eukaryota; Metazoa; Chordata; Aves; Anseriformes; Anatidae
Exons: 2
Source: RefSeq, a predicted model, not a curated record
UUCUCCAGAGACCGCGUGGUGUUAGCACCUGGAGACUCGGGUGGGUUGUUCCCACUGUGUCAGCCGCUUGCAUCAAGAGGAGAAAAGCAGGAUGAUACAGGCAAACAAAAACAGGGAGCUCUGUAUUUGCCAGAAAUUGCAUCGUGAUGCAUUUUACUGACAAGGGUCCGACCAAAUAGCCACCUGCAGACUGUCCAGCCAAGCACCAGAGCAACUUCUAGCAGCCAGUCAGCACCAAAGGCACAGAAUUUCUACGUGACAGCCUGAAGGCUGUACUGCACCGAGCAUCAGAGCAACAGAGGCACAGGACUGCUGUAAUGCCUUGAACUGAAUGACUAAGUCUUCAGCACUGUUUAGACUUACAGUGACUUACAGAGGUGAGCUUCUCUGCCACAUCAGUUAUCUAGUCUUUUUUUAAUGAAAUGUAAAAUUAUGCUUAUAUUUUUGCUAUGCGAUUAAACUGCAGCACAUACUUAUAUAGUGAUUUUAAAAGACAAAAAAAAAUACAGGUCUGGAAAACAAAGAUCGACUAACCUGGACA